RNAcentral lists this ribosomal RNA (510 nucleotides) under uncultured bacterium. RNAcentral describes it as "partial 16S ribosomal RNA". It matches the Rfam family "Bacterial small subunit ribosomal RNA", at positions 28 to 507 of the family's 1533-position model. The record is from RNAcentral.
GACGAACGCUGGCGGCGUGCUUAACACAUGCAAGUCGAACGAAGAGCGCUGGAAGCUUGCUUCUAUCAAUCUUAGUGGCGAACGGGUGAGUAACGCGUAAUCAACCUGCCCUUCAGAGGGGGACAACAGUUGGAAACGACUGCUAAUACCGCAUACGAUCUAAUCUCGGCGUCGAGGAUAGAUGAAAGGUGGCCUCUACAUGUAAGCUAUCACUUAAGGUGGGGUUUGCGUCUGAUUAGCUAGUUGGCGGGGUAACGGCCCACCAAGGCGAUGAUCAGUAGCCGGACUGAGAGGAUGGACGGCCACAUUGGGACUGAGACACGGCCCAGACUCCUACGGGAAGGAGCAGGAGGGAAACUUCCGGAAUGGGCGGAAAUCUGACGGAGCCACGCCGCGUGAGGGAUGACGGACGUCGGGUUGUAAAGCUCUGUUAAUCGGGACGAAAGGCCUUCUUGCGAAUAGGGAGAAGGAUUGACGGUACCGGAUAAGAAAGCCACGGCUAACUACGUG